AUCCAUGCCAUCGCCAGGGAGACCUUUACCUGUGAUGUCUGCGGGAAGAGCUUGGCCACUAAACCAUCGCUGGUCAGCCAUCAACAGCUACACCAGUACCCCAACAUCAUUUUGUACCGGCAAGGAGAGGCCAGGCUGUACUGUACAGAGGCAGCAAGGUCUGUGGCAGAGGCCCGCAGCAGCACUGUUGUUGACCCUAAAUGGCUGGAUCUCAAGACAGCAGAGGCGGCUGCCAAGAGGUCGGGGGCUGAGCUGUGGAAAGGUCAGCUGGUCAUCACGUUCGGGUAGUACGCCGGUCAGACCUUCAGGUGGCUUGUGGAGAAUGAUGUCGGCUGGCUGGUGUGGCUGCUGUUCCAGUACUGCCAGCAGGGAGAGCAGAACGAGCUGCUGAAGUGGCAGAAGGAGCGACUGCUCCUUCGGCCACAAGGUGACUCCUCACCUGAAAGUGCUGUCGGACGCACCGUUCCCGGAGGCUCCUGCGCUGCCAACAUCCCUCCCUCCGCCAGACCGGCCUCAGGUCCAGUACCGGCUCAUCUAUCACGAGGCUGGAAAGAGACGUGGUGAGAAGCGGAGAUUAUUUGUUGAUGAGCCACAGCCUGUGACUCCCGCGAACCGACCCGUUCAGCCCACUGGGUUGUCGUCCUCCACCCGGCCGAAGCCUGCUGCGCUCACCCCCAUUCUGCCGAGGCCUUCUGCGCCUACCCACCUCCAGCCGAGGCCACCCGCUGCGUUGACCUACGGCCCACCCCCUGUGUCGGCAGCACCCAUACUGCAGGUCUUCCCCGCACAGCCACAGGCGCCCUCCGUCCUGUUUCGUGGGACAUCCUGCAGCCAGAGCUUUGUCCCUCCUGCACCAACAGUCAAGGCAUUCAUGCCUAACAAGUCCUCAAGGCCAUGUGGGGCUUGCCACAUGCCAAACUGUGGUGGACAGUGGAAGAGGUACAACCCUUUCAAGGACAAAGUGGCUGGAAGCAUUCAGAAAAUGUUUUCCUACUGUCCAUCCACUAGGAAGUCCACUACCCCUGGCUUCGACAAUGUGGUGUAUGACAACUUUGAACUCUUUAAGAGUGUCGUGGAUGCAGAGUUGGAAAGGAGGACUGUGUGUGUGUGUGUGUGUGUGUGUGUGUGUGUGUGUGUGUGUGUGUGUGUGUGUGUGUGUGUGUGUGUGUGUGUGUGUGUGUGUGUGUUUGUGAAUAACUUACCUCUGUGA
Molecule: long non-coding RNA, 1210 nt
Filed under: Gadus morhua (Atlantic cod)
Lineage: Eukaryota; Metazoa; Chordata; Actinopteri; Gadiformes; Gadidae
Description: lncRNA (ENSGMOG00000026809.1)
Source: RNAcentral